GACUUCUGGUCUAAUGCGCCUGGCCCGCGGUCGUACGACAUGUGAGUGCCGGUGCGCGUUUACCAUCCUUCUAGAAAACGAGUCUUCCCUUUACUGGGCCGGACUAGGGAUCUAGAUCAGCAGGCUAUUGCUAUGAAUACAUUAGCAUGGAAUAAUAAUCUAGGACUUCGGUUCUAUUUUGUUGGUUUCUCUAGCUGAAGUAAUGAUUGAUAGGGAUAGUUGGGGGUGCUAGUAUUGGCCGGUCAGAGGUGAAAUUCUUCGAUUCGGUCAAGACUACCUUCUGCGAAAGCAUU
Molecule: ribosomal RNA, 293 nt
Filed under: uncultured Proleptomonas
Lineage: Eukaryota; Cercozoa; Glissomonadida
Description: partial 18S ribosomal RNA
Rfam family: Eukaryotic small subunit ribosomal RNA (bases 119-293)
Source: RNAcentral